UACGUAGGGUGCAAGCGUUAAUCGGAAUUACUGGGCGUAAAGCGUGCGCAGGCGGCUAUGCAAGACAGAUGUGAAAUCCCCGGGCUUAACCUGGGAACUGCAUUUGUGACUGCAUCGCUGGAGUGCGGCAGAGGGGGAUGGAAUUCCGCGUGUAGCAGUGAAAUGCGUAGAUAUGCGGAGGAACACCGAUGGCGAAGGCAAUCCCCUGGGCCUGCACUGACGCUCAUGCACGAAAGCGUGGGGAGCAAACAGG
RNAcentral lists this ribosomal RNA (253 nucleotides) under uncultured bacterium. RNAcentral describes it as "partial 16S ribosomal RNA". It matches the Rfam family "Bacterial small subunit ribosomal RNA", at positions 524 to 776 of the family's 1533-position model. The record is from RNAcentral.